CGCUGGCGGCGUGCCUAAUACAUGCAAGUCGGACGGUCUUUUCUAUGGAAGCUUGCUUCCACUGAGAAGAUAGUGGCGAACGGGUGAGUAACACGUGGGUAACCUGCCCAUAAGAGGGGGAUAACAUCCGGAAACGGGUGCUAAUACCGCAUAGUUUUCUUGAUCGCAUGAUUGAGAAAGGAAAGACGGCCUUUGUGCUGUCGCUUAUGGAUGGACCCGCGGCGUAUUAGUUAGUUGGUGAGGUAACGGCUCACCAAGACGAUGAUACGUAGCCGACCUGAGAGGGUGAUCGGCCACAUUGGGACUGAGACACGGCCCAAACUCCUACGGGAGGCAGCAGUAGGGAAUCUUCCGCAAUGGACGAAAGUCUGACGGAGCAACGCCGCGUGAGUGAAGAAGGUUUUCGGAUCGUAAAACUCUGUUGUCAGAGAAGAACAAGUUGGAGAGUAACUGCUCCAGCCUUGACGGUAUCUGACCAGAAAGCCACGGCUAACUACGUGCCAGCAGCCGCGGUAAUACGUAGGUGGCAAGCGUUGUCCGGAUUUAUUGGGCGUAAAGCGAGCGCAGGCGGUUCCUUAAGUCUGAUGUGAAAGCCCACGGCUCAACCGUGGAGGGUCAUUGGAAACUGGGGAACUUGAGUGCAGAAGAGGAGAGUGGAAUUCCAUGUGUAGCGGUGAAAUGCGUAGAUAUAUGGAGGAACACCAGUGGCGAAGGCGACUCUCUGGUCUGUAA
Molecule: ribosomal RNA, 732 nt
Filed under: uncultured bacterium
Lineage: Bacteria
Description: bacterial SSU rRNA
Rfam family: Bacterial small subunit ribosomal RNA
Source: RNAcentral